UCAGGACGAACGCUGGCGGCGUAGCUUAACACAUGCAAGUCGAACGGAGUUUUAAACGGAAGUUUCGGACGGAAGUUAAAACUAGUGGCGGAACGGGUGAGUAACGCGUGGGUAACCUGCCUCAUACAGGGGGAUAACAGUUAGAAAUGACUGCUAACACCGCAUAAUAUAGCGAAACCGCAUUGAUUUUGCUAUCAAAUAUUUAUAGGUAUGAGAUGGGCCCGCGUCUGAUUAGCUAGUUGGUGGGGUAAAAGCCUACCAAGGCGACGAUCAGUAGCCGGCUUGAGAGAGUGACCGGCCACAUUGGGACUGAGACACGGCCCAAACUCCUACGGGAGGCAGCAGUGGGGAAUAUUGGACAAUGGGGGAAACCCUGAUCCAGCGAACCGCCGCGUGAGUGAAGAAGUAUUUCGGUAUGUAAAGCUCUAUCAGCAGGGAAGAUAAUGACAGUACCUGACUAAGAAGCCCCGGCUAACUACGUGCCAGCCGCUGC
RNAcentral lists this ribosomal RNA (493 nucleotides) under uncultured bacterium. RNAcentral describes it as "bacterial SSU rRNA". It matches the Rfam family "Bacterial small subunit ribosomal RNA", at positions 24 to 518 of the family's 1533-position model. The record is from RNAcentral.